RNAcentral lists this ribosomal RNA (236 nucleotides) under uncultured bacterium. RNAcentral's name for it is "partial 16S ribosomal RNA". It matches the Rfam family "Bacterial small subunit ribosomal RNA", at positions 99 to 334 of the family's 1533-position model. The record is from RNAcentral.
CGGACGGGUGAGUAACGCGUGGGUAACCUGCCUUGUACUGGGGGACAACAGUUAGAAAUGACUGCUAAUACCGCAUAAGCGCACAGUAUCGCAUGAUACAGUGUGAAAAACUACCGGUGGUACAAGAUGGACCCGCGUCUGAUUAGCUAGUUGGUAAGGUAACGGCUUACCAAGGCGACGAUCAGUAGCCGACCUGAGAGGGUGACCGGCCACAUUGGGACUGAGACACGGCCCAA